UACGGAGGGGGAUAGCGUUGUUCGGAAUUACUGGGCGUAAAGCGCACGUAGGCGGCUUUGUAAGUUAGAGGUGAAAGCCCGGGGCUCAACUCCGGAACUGCCUUUAAGACUGCAUCGCUUGAACAUCGGAGAGGUAAGUGGAAUUCCGAGUGUAGAGGUGAAAUUCGUAGAUAUUCGGAAGAACACCAGUGGCGAAGGCGACUUACUGGACGAUUGUUGACGCUGAGGUGCGAAAGCGUGGGGAGCAAACAGG
This 253-nucleotide ribosomal RNA is filed under the name uncultured bacterium. RNAcentral describes it as "partial 16S ribosomal RNA". It matches the Rfam family "Bacterial small subunit ribosomal RNA", at positions 524 to 776 of the family's 1533-position model. The record is from RNAcentral.